This is a long non-coding RNA of Zea mays, 1077 nucleotides long. RefSeq lists it as uncharacterized. The record is from RefSeq and is a predicted model, not a curated record. The transcript is spliced from 3 exons. Lineage: Eukaryota; Viridiplantae; Streptophyta; Magnoliopsida; Poales; Poaceae.
CAUGCUUCUUCUCCAUAUUCUUCAACAAAUUACACAACUUAUGAAUUUUAUGCUUCUUCUCCAUAUUCUUCAACAAAUUACACAGCUUCUGAAUUUUUCGCCUGCGAUGCUUACCUGGAGAAAUGCACAAUCACCAUGUUUAUGUGGUUGGAAGACAGACCUUGGUCCAUUAUGAGUAGCAGUCCGAAAUGAUUUGUUUGGUUGCUCAAUUUGGUAAAGAGAAGACCGUUUUACGCACUGAGGUUGAUCGCGGUUUCACGUUUUAUGCACUGAGGUUGAUCGCGGUUUCACUGCAGAAAUAUUUAGCAUGCAUCCUAUGUCAUUUUGUCAGCUUUGUGACAAAGGUAGGUAAGUAAGCUUUGGACUAUACUGCAUGCCUUGCUUUCCUGUUGCAUGCGCACAACAACCAAGUGCUCAGAUGGCUGGAUCUGAAUGAAUGGCGUCCGACAGAAUUGGAUUCUUUCAUUUUUUUUCCAUUUGGUGCUGCCAGUCGGAUCUUAGUUUAAGCUAGGAUUAAUAUUUCAUUUUAUUUUCCCCAUUUGAUACAUGUGUUGCUCCUUUCUGGUGGCUGGCUCGGCCUGGCGCUGCACAACUGUGCCGGUAUGCAUAAUCAAGGCCGAUACUAUGAGUCCAGCAUGUUGUAGCAGUACACGGACCCACAAUCCACGAGGAGAUGCAAUGCAGCAGUAUCUCCUUUCUGUUGCUCCCCACCUCCCCACCUCCACUCCCACUGAGCUUUCUAAUUGUGCAGUCCAACUCUUAGCCUGUACUCUACUAGCUUGGUCCUCCCAUCAACCAUGUUAAUUCCCAGGCGCCUCUUGGGAGGUGGGGUUGGGAGCUUCUUAUGGUUUGCAUUGGAUGGAUGAAGCAACACUAACUCCUCUUCCCGGUUGGUGGCGUCAUGUAUUCUGCUACUUUAAACCAUAUCACAUUGACGCAUCCCCUACCACCAUUCUUAUAUGUCAAAAACAGGAAUUCGCCUCCAUACAUAUUAAAUUUAUAGUCUAGAUUUUUACUCUGUAGACGACUUAAUCAUAUGUGGACUAUUAAUAAUGCUGUGUGAUGGCGAUUGUUUAA